CGGAGGGUGCAAGCGUUGUCCGGAAUCAUUGGGUUUAAAGGGUCCGCAGGCGGUCUUAUAAGUCAGUGGUGAAAGCCUACAGCUUAACUGUAGAACUGCCAUUGAUACUGUAAGACUUGAAUUCGGUCGAAGUGGCGGAAUGUGACAUGUAGCGGUGAAAUGCUUAGAUAUGUCACAGAACACCGAUAGCGAAGGCAGCUCACUAGGCCUGGAUUGACGCUCAUGGACGAAAGCGUGGGGAGCAAACAGGAUUAGAUACCCUGGUAGUCCACGCCGUAAACUAUGAUUACUCGUUUUCGGCGAUAUACAGUCGGAGACUAAGCGAAAGUGAUAAGUAAUCCACCUGGGGAGUACGAUCGCAAGGUUG
Molecule: ribosomal RNA, 367 nt
Filed under: uncultured organism
Description: bacterial SSU rRNA
Rfam family: Bacterial small subunit ribosomal RNA
Source: RNAcentral